CCUGAGAAACCCAAAAGAUCGAAUGGGGAGAUUCAUCGUCAAUAUGUUUAAUAUAUAUAUAUAUUAUGAUGUAAAUUUUUAUUAAUUUAAUUAUUAAUUUAAAAUUUAUACAUAUAUAUAUUAUUUUAUUGUUUUACAUUGUCGGCGUGCACUUCUCCUCUAGUAGAACAUUGUAACCCGUUAGAUAUUAAUUUACGGCCUUAUUGGGUAGCCUUUGAUCGUUAAAACAUUAAAGACCAAUUUGUGUUUCCUAAUUAAUUGUCUGACGGUAUUCAUAUGAUAUUAAGUCGCAUAUAUUAUUUGCGUUUUCAUCCGUCGCAAGCGAGGCUAUUUAAUUAAUUGUUACGGACCUAGUGCCGUCUAUUAAUAAUAGCCAGCUGUUGGCUGUUACGGUAUUCUGAAACUGACUUUAUAUAUCGGUU
Molecule: ribosomal RNA, 422 nt
Filed under: Falciconus pseudoplatani
Lineage: Eukaryota; Metazoa; Arthropoda; Insecta; Hymenoptera; Braconidae
Description: partial 28S ribosomal RNA
Source: RNAcentral